CCACGUUCUAAUCUUACUCAUUGCUUUUAAUUACCAAUUGUGUGGACGCGUUGACUGAGGCGUCUGUGAAACGCGUGCGUGUGCCCAUCUGAUAUGUCAUCUCAAUUAAUAAGGGAGUUCCGAUGGCUCUUGUUUUUUAUGAUUUAUUUAAUUUUCUAAAAUGAGUUUUCAAUAGGAUUUUCUUCCAAAAUUAGUUAUAAUUUCAUUUUUAAUCCAAAAAUUAUGGGACCAACACCAAAAAUUCGCAAAUAUUUU
RNAcentral lists this long non-coding RNA (255 nucleotides) under Lathyrus oleraceus (garden pea). RNAcentral describes it as "Pisum sativum (pea) long non-coding RNA (PSAT_LNC008835)". The record is from RNAcentral. Lineage: Eukaryota; Viridiplantae; Streptophyta; Magnoliopsida; Fabales; Fabaceae.